UACGUAGGGUGCGAGCGUUAAUCGGAAUUACUGGGCGUAAAGCGUGCGCAGGCGGCUUUGCAAGACAGAUGUGAAAUCCCCGGGCUCAACCUGGGAACUGCAUUUGUGACAGCAAGGCUAGAGUACGGCAGAGGGGGAUGGAAUUCCGCGUGUAGCAGUGAAAUGCGUAGAUAUGCGGAGGAACACCAAUGGCGAAGGCAAUCCCCUGGGCCUGUACUGACGCUCAUGCACGAAAGCGUGGGGAGCAAACAGG
Molecule: ribosomal RNA, 253 nt
Filed under: uncultured bacterium
Lineage: Bacteria
Description: partial 16S ribosomal RNA
Rfam family: Bacterial small subunit ribosomal RNA
Source: RNAcentral